UCACGAAGUAGCUUUGAGCUAAAUAUAUUAUAAUAUUAGUUAUUUUUAAAGGUGUUGUAUAACCUUAUUAAAAAAUUAUAUUUAGGGGUGAUAGGCUUUUCAAAAUCUAAGAUAUCUUGAAUCUAAUUAAAAGUAUGUAGUACAUUUAACACGACUAUAAAGUGAUUAGGCUUUAUAGAAACUAUUAAACCUUAAGAUAUAAUUAUUUAUUAAAAUUUAAUAACUAACUAUAUAAAUAAAUUAACAUUCAUAUAUUAUAAUUUAUAAUUGAGUAAUUAGAUAGAUAUAAGUUUGUUAAAAAUUGUAAUAAUGUUAAUAUUAGUAUGUAAUUUAUAUUUAUAUGAUGAACUCGGCAAAAAUGCUUCUCAACUGUUUAUCAAAAACAUAACUAUGUGAAUAAAUACAUAGCGGGUUCUGCUCAAUUGAUUUAUAUUAAAUAGCCGCAGUAUACUGACUGUGCAAAGGUAGCAUAAUCAAUUGACUUAUAAUUGAAGUCUAGAWUGAAUGAAAAUAAUGGGAGGCCACUAUAUUUUGUAAAUUUAUAUAAUUUAUUAAUGAAGUGAAAAUACUUCUAUAUACAUAAUAGACGAGAAGACCCUAGAAAUUUUUAGUAAUUAAAAUUUAUAUUUGAGAAAUUUUUUGUUGGGGCGACAAAGUAGCACAUAAACCUACUUUUUAUAAACUUGUACUAUAUAUAUAGAUUGAUAAAAUUACUCUAGGGAUAACAGCAUAAUAUUUUAAAGUUUAUGACCUCGAUGUUGGAUUAGGAAAUAAUAACUUAAAAGGUUUUUUAUUUUGCUCUGUUCGAGCAUUAAACUCCUACAUGAUC
This 829-nucleotide ribosomal RNA is filed under the name Mandarina hahajimana. RNAcentral describes it as "partial 16S ribosomal RNA". Lineage: Eukaryota; Metazoa; Mollusca; Gastropoda; Stylommatophora; Camaenidae. The record is from RNAcentral.